This is a long non-coding RNA of Apis florea (little honeybee), 518 nucleotides long. NCBI's taxonomy places the organism in Eukaryota, Metazoa, Arthropoda, Insecta, Hymenoptera, Apidae. The record is from RefSeq and is a predicted model, not a curated record.
UCGAAAUAUUAAAUUCAAACUUAAUAUUUUCAGUAUUUAUCUAACUAAUUACGAAAUAAAUAUUUUUCAUGACUCGUUAUCGAUAUAGAUAACACGAUUUACAGGAUUUCUUGUCUUUCCACUUUCUCCACAGUUCAAAGGUGAUGGUGGUUGGUCAUCCAACCGAGUAUUAGCUGUUAGAUGAUCGGAGAAUAAAUCAUUUAUGAUAUUAUUCAACCUAAAAUAUAUCUUUAGCGUUUUCCUAUUUAUACAAUAACAUAAUAAAUAUAUAAUUGUGAAAAAUGCGAAUACGAUCGAAAUUUAUUAUUCGGUGAAGAAUUUUCGAAAGGUUCAAAUAGGAUCGUGCUCGAGCAUAAGAAAAUUGAUCUAAAAGACAAGCCUAUGGCGUUGGUCUGAUUAUGAAUCCUGCAAGUUUUAAGGAAAAGUCGUAAAACUGAGAUGGCGGGAAAUAAGGCCAUCGGUGCAGUCACCCUUGCAAAUCCUAUGAUUCAAAAAAAAAAAAAAAUUGGAAAUUUUAA